ACCGCUGGCGGGACCAUUAUGGUGUGGCGCUUAGGACUACGCUCCGGUGGGAAUUCCGAAAGGACCCUUCGAAUCGCCCCGGUUGGAAAAAGGCUCCGGCACGCGCGCAUUAAAUGCCAAAAUAUCUGAGGGCGAUCGUGCACAGGAUUCAAGGGGACAACUUCGGCUGUGAAAUUUCUUUGUACUUCCUCCAUUCGAAACUCGAACUCGAAAGUAGGGGGACUGGUGUUGGGUACAAAAUACCCCCUCAGCCGAAGUUCGCGUCAGAAGUGACCCUCCGGGGAUUCUGCCGACUUUCGACCUUCGGCGAUAUCUUUCUGAACCUUUCUGGCGGCCGAACCUUCGCAGCAUUCCCGAGUUCUGCCGAUGGAUAAACCCCCACCAGCGUCGACCAGAUUCUUCACGACAGACGGACUCCUACGGGAGCCGGACUUCACCGACUUCGACUGCGGAAAGACUUCGUCCGGACUCCUACGGGAGCCAGACUCCAUCCCCGGCCCCUACUGCAGGUAGACUUCGUCCGGACUCCCACGGGAGCCGGACUUCGUCCCGACUUCUACUGCAAACAGACUUCGUCCGGACUCCUACGGGAGCCGGACUUCGCCCCCGAUUUCAAUUGCAGGUGAACUUCGUCCGGACUCCUACGGAAACCGGACUUCGUCCCUGACUUCAAUUGCAGGUAGACUGCAUCCGGACUCCUACGGGAGCCGGGCUUCGUCUCCGACUUCUACUGCAGGCAGACUUCGUCCGGACUCCUAUGGGAGCCGAACUUCGCCCCCGAUUUCAAUUGCAGGUGAACUUCGUCCGGACUCCUACGGGAGCCGGACUUCGUCCCUGACUUCAAUUGCAGGUAGACUGCAUCCGGACUCCUACGGGAGCCGAGCUUCGUCCCCGACUUCUACUACAGGCAGACUUCGUCCGGACUCCUACGGGAGCCGAACUUCGCCCC
RNAcentral lists this long non-coding RNA (949 nucleotides) under Elaeis guineensis (African oil palm). Its description in RNAcentral is "long non-coding RNA (EGUI_LNC056917)". Lineage: Eukaryota; Viridiplantae; Streptophyta; Magnoliopsida; Arecales; Arecaceae. The record is from RNAcentral.